This 440-nucleotide ribosomal RNA is filed under the name uncultured bacterium. RNAcentral's name for it is "partial 16S ribosomal RNA". It matches the Rfam family "Bacterial small subunit ribosomal RNA", at positions 338 to 795 of the family's 1533-position model. The record is from RNAcentral.
CCUACGGGUGGCAGCAGUGGGGGAUAUUGCACAAUGGGGGAAACCCUGAUGCAGCGACGCCGCGUGGGUGAAGAAGCGCCUCGGCGCGUAAAGCCCUGUCAGCAGGGAAGAAAAUGACGGUACCUGAAGAAGAAGCCCCGGCGAACUACGUGCCAGCAGCCGCGGUAAUACGUAGGGGGCAAGCGUUAUCCGGAUUUACUGGGUGUAAAGGGGGCGCAGGCGGCGUGGCAAGACAGGAGUGAAAGCCCGGGGCCCAACCCCGGGACUGCUCUUGGAACUGCGUGGCUAGAGUGCAGGAGGGGCAGGCGGAAUUCCUGGUGUAGCGGUGAAAUGCGUAGAUAUGAGGAGGAACACCGGUGGCGAAGGCGGCCUGCUGGACUGCAACUGACGUUGAGGCCCGAAAGCGUGGGGAGCAAACAGGAUUAGAUACCCGAGUAGUC